This 512-nucleotide ribosomal RNA is filed under the name uncultured archaeon. RNAcentral's name for it is "bacterial SSU rRNA". It matches the Rfam family "Archaeal small subunit ribosomal RNA", at positions 21 to 533 of the family's 1478-position model. The record is from RNAcentral.
AGGUCAUUGCUAUUGGAGUCCGAUUUAGCCAUGCUAGUUGCACGAGUUCGUACUCGUAGCAGAUAGCUCAGUAACACGUGGCCAAACUACCCUAUGGAUCCGGACAACCUCGGGAAACUGAGGCUAAUCCGGAAUACGGCUCUCAGCCUGGAAGUGGCGAGAGUCAGAAACGCUCCGGCGCCAUAGGAUGUGGCUGCGGCCGAUUAGGUAGACGGUGGGGUAACGGCCCACCGUGCCCAUAAUCGGUACGGGUUGUGAGAGCAAGAGCCCGGAGACGGUAUCUGAGACAAGAUACCGGGCCCUACGGGGCGCAGCAGGCGCGAAACCUUUACACUGCACGAAAGUGCGAUAAGGGGACUCCAAGUGCGAGGGCAUAUAGUCCUCGCUUUUCACCACCGUAAGGAGGUGGUAGAAUAAGUGCUGGGCAAGACCGGUGCCAGCCGCCGCGGUAAUACCGGCAGCACGAGUGAUGACCGCUCUUAUUGGGCCUAAAGCGUCCGUAGCUACUUUCC